CCUACGGGAGGCAGCAGUGGGGAAUAUUGGACAAUGGGGGCAACCCUGAUCCAGCCAUGCCGCGUGUGUGAAGAAGGCCCUCGGGUUGUAAAGCACUUUCAGUGAGGAAGAACGCCUGGUGGUUAAUACCCAUCAGGGAAGACAUCACUCACAGAAGAAGCACCGGCUAACUCCGUGCCAGCAGCCGCGGUAAUACGGAGGGUGCGAGCGUUAAUCGGAAUUACUGGGCGUAAAGCGCGCGUAGGUGGCUUGAUAAGCCGGUUGUGAAAGCCCCGGGCUCAACCUGGGAACGGCAUCCGGAACUGUCAAGCUAGAGUGCAGGAGAGGAAGGUAGAAUUCCCGGUGUAGCGGUGAAAUGCGUAGAGAUCGGGAGGAAUACCAGUGGCGAAGGCGGCCUUCUGGACUGACACUGACACUGAGGUGCGAAAGCGUGGGUAGCAAACAGGAUUAGAUACCCCUGUAGUC
Molecule: ribosomal RNA, 465 nt
Filed under: Vreelandella stevensii
Lineage: Bacteria; Pseudomonadati; Pseudomonadota; Gammaproteobacteria; Oceanospirillales; Halomonadaceae
Description: partial 16S ribosomal RNA
Rfam family: Bacterial small subunit ribosomal RNA
Source: RNAcentral